Molecule: long non-coding RNA, 2702 nt
Organism: Sceloporus undulatus (fence lizard)
Lineage: Eukaryota; Metazoa; Chordata; Lepidosauria; Squamata; Phrynosomatidae
Exons: 3
Source: RefSeq, a predicted model, not a curated record
UAUGUACUAAAAUGACGAUGUUAGUCACAAGCUUACGGUACAUUUUCUCGAGGUGUUGUGUUGUUUUGUGGAGGGAUAUCUAUGCAGGCAGGCCGGUCUCCUUCUGGCCAUGUGACACUGGGAACAAAGCAUGCCAAAGUUGAGGAGAUAAAAUCUGAAUUCCAUUAGCAAUACAAAAAGCUUCGUUUCCUCACAACCUAAUGAUUCUUAGCUUUGCAAGUACAGUAAUUAAGAUUUUGGCUGAAGUCAUAUUUGGAGAACAAAGCAAAGGGAUGCCGUGCAAGAUGAAUCCUCAUUCAUACCAACUAAGCCUAAAGGACACAGCCUUGAAAAGAGUCCUCAGUGCAACCACCUCAGCAGCUCAGACAGCCUUCUUUGAAUAACUGCAGCAUCUUCCUCUGUUAGAAUGGAAUGCAGACUCAAUAGCUUGAACAUCCACUCACAGAAUGCUUGUCAAAACUAUCUAAAAUGGAGCUGUGGCUGGCAGACAAAUCUUUACCUUUUUGGGGAGAACAAGCCAAAUAAAUCUCACCUAUGUCUAAAGGGGAAACAAAGGUGGACCUUCUAAUCUGAUACAUUUCCAAAGCAAUAUCAUGUAAUUAAUAGCUCCUCUACUGUGCCUUAUUGUAGGACUUUAUCAUACUAGCCUGCUGUCCUGCUACAAACACACUAGUUUAACAAUGGAAGUAUACUGGUUUGGCAUCAUUUCUCAUCACAUUCACACAGCAGCCUUGUGCAGGGGGGCACAACAAACAGUCCCAGCUGCCAACAGCCUCAAAAAUGUGUGCACAACAGCAGGUUUUGGGAAGCUGUUGGUGGCACAAUUGCGGUGGGGGGGGGGCAGAAUUAUACUCACUCACACCAUGUGACUGCCUGAGAAGUGGAACUGCAGCAGAAGGGACCUAUUGUGCAAAGACAGUAAAUGAAUAGCAGCGAGACUGAGAGCCUAUUGACAGGUUUUGCCCAACAACAAAAAGAUGCACUAAAGGAUGGAAUGCAAAGUGGCAGCAGAAUGGACAUGAUGUUGUGUGCUAAAUACCAGGAAAAUAUACUUUUGUCCUGUUAAAAUUUCACUUUUUAGAUUCAUGUGAUAAACUGGUAGUCACCUAAUGCAACAGUUCAGCAUAGUGGCAUAUGUUCCAUGAACAUACUGCAUAUCCUCGAUUAUAAGUCGACCUAAUGUAUAACUCAAGGUCAGGUUUUGAGCCCAAUUUUAUGGAUUUUGAUAUGACUCAUGGAUAAGUCAAGGGUAAAACUUAGGGGCAUGCAACAAAAGGAUGUAAAGCAUGAAGCAAAGGAAACCGAUGCCAAAGAACUUAGAAUUUUGGCAGGCAUUCUGUUCAUGCUCACCCUAAAGGCCUAAUGGAUGAGAGAGUGAGUGGGUGGGUGUCAGUGCUUCCUUUAGGUGCUCCCAGCUUUUGCCUUUUAUCACACUACUCAGAGAAUGGAAUGGUUCCUUUUUUUAAAAAAAAUAAGAAUUAAAGUACAGUACUUACAUAUGUAUAUAUUUAUAUACAGGUACUUAUGUAAUUAUAUACACUGACCUGUAGAUAAGUCAAUCCAGUUUUUUUGGGUCAGUUUUUUUGACUAAAAUUUCUAGACUAAUACAUGAGCAUAUUCAGUAAUUCUGGCCUGGCUACAUAUCACUCAUCCAAACUGAGAAGGCACCUUGUAAUAGAAAUGUAUCACACAGAGUUGCUUUAACAUCAUGGCAAUAUAUUCCUCCACAGAAGCAAAGAGAACGAAGAAGUAUGAAAAGAUACAAAGAGCAAAAUGAAGAAAAACUCUCUUCUGAGUUUCUUCAGCAUCUUAGUACAAAUGGAACUGAGAGAAGGAAACUUGCAGGGGAGCAGUCAGAACAGAUUUAUCUGAGAGACAAGGAGUCAUCUGGGAUAGAUCACCUUUCCCCAACAAAAUCCAGCAUUCAUACAAGAUGUAAUUUGAAUAGAAAACCUGGAAACUAUUUUUCAUGGGGAACAAUCAUAAAAAGGCAAUCUAUUGGGAAGUCAAUCCAAUCUGGGGAAAUUACUAAUUUGGAUGCUAACACUACAAGUGCAAGUAUCAGACUGUGCAUUCUUCUGUCUGCACAACUAGACAGGUUAUUAUUGUGUGUGAUAAAAAAAGGACUACUGUAAUCAUAUUCUUGGCAAGCAGAAUUGAGAGAAUAUUAUGCAGCACCUUGUGAAAGAGUAGAUGAUCUAAUUGAUUUUAUUCUGACAAUGUAACUUGAAAUAAAAAUAGGAGGAAUCCAUAAAAUGAUGCCUAGAAAUGCUAUGUUGAGUACCUAAUAGGAGAAGAGACUUUAAUCUUCUACUCACCUGACAAAGAUGAAAUUUUUGUACCAAAGAUUUGACAAGGAAUCAUCCAGUUUCAAAUAAUGGGUUAAAACCACAUUAUUUCAGUACUUUUGACAGGGAUAAAGAAAAUGAACACAGCUAAUAAUGGCAAAAAAUAAAAUCCUAUUUGCUCCAUUGUUCUCUUUUCAUUUUAAAACAAAAAUGUAAAAAGGAGUGACAGAAAACAGAAACUCACAGGAAAAUAAAUAGCUUUAGUUAUGAAAUUAAAAAACAGUAUUUGUUAAACCAAUGUGGAGUUUUACGCUCCUAUUUAUAUGGUGUUUGGUGAACUACCUUGCUGGAUUGUUUAGAUUUUAUACCUGUUGCCAUUUCUCCUAUAUGAUUCUUUAGAAAAAAAACCAUACA